This 863-nucleotide ribosomal RNA is filed under the name uncultured Gammaproteobacteria bacterium. RNAcentral's name for it is "bacterial SSU rRNA". It matches the Rfam family "Bacterial small subunit ribosomal RNA", at positions 8 to 870 of the family's 1533-position model. The record is from RNAcentral. Lineage: Bacteria; Pseudomonadati; Pseudomonadota; Gammaproteobacteria.
AGAGUUUGAUCCUGGCUCAGAUUGAACGCUGGCGGCAGGCUUAACACAUGCAAGUCGAACGAUGAUUAUCUAGCUUGCUAGAUAUGAUUAGUGGCGGACGGGUGAGUAACAUUUAGGAAUCUGCCUAGUAGUGGGGGAUAGCUCGGGGAAACUCGAAUUAAUACCGCAUACGACCUACGGGUGAAAGGGGGCGCAAGCUCUUGCUAUUAGAUGAGCCUAAAUCAGAUUAGCUAGUUGGUGGGGUAAAGGCCCACCAAGGCGACGAUCUGUAACUGGUCUGAGAGGAUGAUCAGUCACACCGGAACUGAGACACGGUCCGGACUCCUACGGGAGGCAGCAGUGGGGAAUAUUGGACAAUGGGGGCAACCCUGAUCCAGCCAUGCCGCGUGUGUGAAGAAGGCCUGCGGGUUGUAAAGCACUUUCGGUCGGGAAGAUUGCCGUUGCGGUUAAUACCCGCAGUGGUUGACGUUACCGACAGAAGAAGCACCGGCUAACUCCGUGCCAGCAGCCGCGGUAAUACGGAGGGUGCGAGCGUUAAUCGGAAUUACUGGGCGUAAAGGGUGCGUAGGCGGUCGGGCAAGUCGGAUGUGAAAGCCCCGGGCUUAACCCGGGAAUUGCAUUCGAUACUGUUCGGCUAGAGUGCGAUAGAGGGUGGUGGAACUCCCGGUGUAGCGGUGAAAUGCGUAGAUAUCGGGAAGAACACCAGUGGCGAAGGCGGCCACCUGGAUCGUAACUGACGCUGAGGCACGAAAGCGUGGGGAGCAAACAGGAUUAGAUACCCUGGUAGUCCACGCCCUAAACGAUGAGAACUAGCCGCUGGGAGGAUUAGCCUUUCAGUGGCGCAGCUAACGCGUUAAGUCUCC